Molecule: long non-coding RNA, 671 nt
Organism: Oxyura jamaicensis (ruddy duck)
Lineage: Eukaryota; Metazoa; Chordata; Aves; Anseriformes; Anatidae
Exons: 3
Source: RefSeq, a predicted model, not a curated record
UGAGAGCAGAAAAGGGGAGGUGGAAGGAGGAAGAUGCUUUUUCUGCCUUCUUACUCCAUGAAGAAGUAUGGGAUCUCCCUUCUCUCUUUGGAGAGCAUCUCUGCCCUGCUGGAAACCCAGCACUGAGAAGGUUUUGCUGCUCCAGCAGGUGACUUAGCACAGGAACAGGGGCUAUGAAGAGUGCUCUGAAGGACCAUCUUUCUCCCUGUAUCCAUGCUCCAAAGGACUGUCUUUCUCCCCAGAUCUGCACAGGUAACCCAGGAGGGCUGGUGUCCUCCACCAGUGCCUACCUGACCAGUAGUGGCUGCCCACCUGCCUGCUCCAGUCCCUGACACUAAGGAAAGCUUUGCUCUACCCCCUGCACAAUGUCAAGUGGUGCUGUGGAUAAUUCAGCUGCCACCCAGAAUCCUACAGUAUAAUGCCAUAACAAGAUGUUGUAAAACAAACCAUAAAAUGUAAAUGACGACUGUACCUGAACUGAAAAUACACUGGAGGCUAGAAAAAAGAAGGGAGAGAAGAAAGGGAGCCAUAGCCAGCAAGCCUGAAAACCAGCAGUACCUUGUGGUGGAGCACAGGAUUCAUCUGGGUGACAUUUCAAAGGAUAAAUAUGGAGCACUGGCCUGUUCUGACCUGAGGCUACAGGCAAAAGGUGUCCCCUAAGGUUAGGAGAG